UUUAAAGUAGAAUAUCAGGCGAUGCAACACGAAGGCUUUGUGCCCACAGGCUUGGAGUAUGUCACAUCGAUCCUGCCUGCUGUUGUCGGUUGUAAUUUUGUUAUCUUGCUGUGUGUUUAUUCACAGUCGUUGGUGCUGCUCUCUGGCACUGAUUCCGGGUGAGAGGUUACUCCCAAUAACUCCCUCUUGACGUGCGCCUUUCUUCAAUUCGCCUCUACAUCUUCUCAUUUCUUAGCCCCAACCUCCUUCUCAAUUCUGAAGAAAACUUACCGGCGUUCUGUUUAUAGUUGCAUCGUGUUUUGGCAAAUGUGAACGGGACGCAGAAGAGAUUGAAGAUUGGACUUUUCUUUUUAAAAAAGUGCAAUGAUUAAGAUUUUUUCAAAGAAAAGAAUUUUUUUCAGUAAAGAUUUAUAUCUAAAGGAAGCCCAUCUUUUGCACAUGGCACAAAGUGUGUGGCUGUUAGGAACUUUGUGUGUGUAUAUAUUGCUGUGGACAGCGCUGUAAGAAACUUCUCCACAAAUUCGAUCCGCAGCGGGAACCCGGAUCCGCCGCGCGUUCCGAUUGCGCCCUUUCCUCCGCCCCAAUUUCCGCGCGAGAUCAGCGGGGCGCAGAUUUACUCCUCGUUGUUUGGGACUGCGAGACAAACCACGUGCCCUCCCGCCCGAGUUUCCUCUUCGACAAAAUUCCGGACGGUCGGAAAUUCGGGCGCGCCGUCCUUUCCGAUUGUUUGCAGUAUGUUUGACAUUUCCUGUGUGUGUGUCGGGGCAGGGGGUGGUGGGGUUUGCCGAAAUUUCAACGAGAUCUAAUUAUCCACGCCGAAGCAGUGGCCGGAGUUGCAGACCUACUCUAGAGAGAGGGAGGUCCUUAACUAAUUCGGAACUUCUUUGGAGUCUAACAAAGUGAGUUGGCUUCCAGAAAGACCAUUGAAGUCGGAGGAGUAUAAACUUCAUUGCCAAGUGAAGCCUUGCCUACAAUGUGGAUGGUGGCUUAGAUAAGCAACUUAUACCCAGGUGCCUCCUCACAGUCUGGAGUAGGUGGGCCGUAAAUCCAGACCUAUCUGGCUCAAAAGGAGGUCUUGUGGCAGUAGUAGCAUCCCUGCCCCCCAGACGGAAGCUACGGAUUCAAGUCGACCACAGAAUAUGAUGGUCAAGGAAGUUUCAUUAACUGAGUAUGCCUCAACUGAAUGAUUAUUGAAAGGAAAGUAUCAAAUCCACGUUGAGUACAUCAAUUUAUGUAGUCCUUAGUCACCUGCAUCAUCUUCGGCUAACGAUGAGCAGAAAGUGAAGAUCGCCAAGAGCCCACAGUCACAGGAGAAUGUUUCAUGUCUAGGGGAGAGGGUGUGGAGAGAUUUUGAAGAUGAUAUUGUAAAUUCAAUCUGCUGGUAUUGAGAACCUCAAGACCACUGAGAUAGAUGUAAUGGGUGAACAUGACUCAUUGCGUAUUUGAAUGUACUAGGUGAGAUUUUGAAAAAUCUGACGCUUACAUUAAAAUGGAGAUCGUGAGGUUGGCUGGGAGUUCAUUGAAGAGGUUUAGUAUGGACAUGAAGAAGGUAUGGAUAACGGUUCAGCAAAAUAGAAUAAGAUACUGGGAGGUGAGCAGUGCUGUAGAGGUGUAAAUAAUUGGUGCUAAGAAACAGUUUCUACUGUGCAGUUAUCCCUUGCAACUGAGUUGAAUACUGAUACAUACAAAUAUGUGCUGACGACAUCCAGCUUUGGUUCAAUAUCAUUCGUCUCAUGGUAACGAGGUUCUAUUUUGCAGUUGGAAUUUAACUUUAUUAACUGUGAGGUGGGAGAACUAACAAGACAAGAGAAUACUCAGUGAGAUUCAGGACACUAGAAAGCUCAGAGAAAUCUUGGGAUGUUUGUCCACAGAUCCCUGAAGGCAGCAGGACAGUUAAGGUAUAGAUUGUAAGAACACAGACGUUAUGUUGUAGUUCUAAUCUCUGUGCCACUGGGACGAUGUGAUUAUACUGAAGGGCGGACAGAAGAGAUUAAUAAAAAUAUUGCCUGGGGAGCAGUAUUUUAGCAACAAAGAAAGGCUGGACAAGCUCGAAGAGUUUUCUUUGGAACAGAGAAAGUCGAGUCAGCCCUGAUAGAAGUGUAUAAGAUUGUGAGGGUCGUGGACUGCGUGGCUAGAAAGCAGCUGUUCUCUUUAGUUAAAGGGUCAAUAACAAGGGGUGCACGUAUAAAGGGAAGUGAAGGAGGUGAGGCAGAAAAAUGGCUUCAUUCUCAUGAUAGUAAGGGUCGGAAUGCACCUGCCUGGGAGCAUAGUUGAGCAACCUCAAACUUUAAAAAGUAUUUGGAUGUGCACUUCAGAUGUCAUAGUAUUCAAGACAAUGGACCUAGUGCUGGAGUUUAUUCAUUCAGAGGACAAUGACUAUUUAUUGCCCAAUGCUGAUUUCCCAGAGGUCAGUUGAGAAUCAGCCACAUCACUGUGGGUCUAAAGUCACAUGUAGGCCAGACUAGAUAAGGACUGCAAUUUCCUUUCCAAAAGGAUAUUAGAGGUUGAUUUGUUUUGUGGGUGGGUGGGUGGAGGGGUGAAAAAUUGGCUGUGGUUUCAUGGUCAUCAUUUGUCUCUUAAUUCCAGAUUUUUAAAACAUGCCAGUUCAAAUUCUGACAUGUCAGGAUUUGGAUCCAGAUUAUUUCCUUGUUUUCUGGGUUAAUAAUAUAUAACACAGCUGUGCCAUCAUUGUCUCUUGGCAGUGCAGGUUCAAUGGGUUGAAAGGCCUUGUCUAUACUGUAUGAUUCUACGAGUCUGUACCUAUUACAAAAAAAAAUCCUUGUUCCCCAUUACUCUUCCCUUCUAAUUAACAUGAUAUUCCUUGUUUACCUAACCUGACAAUGCUUCAGGUCCUAAAUGGUUACCUACAGCAUCCAACUUUAGCUGCACAUCACUUCUCUUGUGAUACAAGGUGCUAUUAACAGUGUGUUCAAGUGGAACAUACCAAACAACUCCUGCUCACUAGUACCUGUUCGCAUUUUACCAGAAUCACUCAGCCCCAGAUUUCAUUAUCACUUUUGUCUAAAUAUUGACAAGCAAUAAAUUCCAGUGGAACAUGACAGUUCCUGGAUUUGACUUCAAGAUAAUGCGGCAUCAAGAAGCCUUAGUUUUAAAAAUAAAACUAAUAAUGCUGGACUAAAUUGUUUCUGAUUUAUUAGGCCCUUUGUCUGACAUCUAGAACAACAGAUGAACAAAUGAAUUAGGAGCAUGAGACAUCUAUUUGGUCCAUUCAGCAUGCUCUGCUGCUUGAUUAAGAUCUUUGUUGAUAUGAUUGUGCCCUCAAGGCUGUUUUCCUAUCCUCCUAAGAUAGCCAUUCACUCACUUGUCAAUCAAGAAUCUGUCUAACUUAGCCUUAAAAAUAGUCAAUGACAAUGCUUUCAUUAUUUUCUCAGCAACAGAAUUCCAUAGAUUACCAGCCAUCUGUGGUGACAAAAACUUGUCUUUGUGCUUGUUCUAAGAGAGAGACUCUGUUAUUUUUAAGCAAUGCCACAAAUUUUAGUGCCUCAGAUAAGGGAACCAACCUCUUAGGUUCCUCAAUGCUUCACAGGAAGACGAAAACCCAUUGUUUUCAGUCCCUCCCAUAGAAUCUAUUUCCUAGCCAUUAACUGCAUUCUAUUUCUUGACACUGUCCAAUGCUGAGCUAGACCUUUUGGAAUUAUAGUAUUGUAUUUGCCUCAGAUAAGAACAAUCAGUUGUAUAUCUGCGAUAUCAUGGGGACUGCCCGCUUUGAUCACCUUUUAUACUGAUCUGUCUCAAUUUACACUGUUGAAACCCUGUUCCAAGUUGUUACUACUUCUGGAUUAGGGUAUAAUACAACUGUCUUCACUAAGCUUUCAUUUUCACCCUGUGUCAACUUGAGCUCAUCCAAAACUCUGCUACUUGUAUCUCAAUUCACCAAAAUGCUUUUGUCCUUAUGCUUUUUGACCUAUAUUUUAUUGCAAUCCGGUUGCAGUAGUUCUCAAAUUCACAUCCUUGUUUUCAGAUCCCUCUGGUUUCAUCCAUUCCUCUCUGUCUCAAUAUUUCUACCUCAGAAAUCUCUGAAAGCUCUGUGCUGCUCCAGUUCUGGCCUCUUGUGUGUCCCACAUUUUAAUUGCCCUCCCUUUGGUAGCUGUGCGUUCAGCUGCCCACACCCUACACAGUGGAAUUCUGUCCGUAAACCUCUGCACCUCUUUAUUUCAACCCUCCUUUAAGAUGCUUCUUUUAUCUAUCACUUGAACAAAGCUUUCACUUUCACUUCCUCCUUAAAUGCUUUGGUGUCUCAAUUUUAUUUGAUAAUGCUCCUAUGAAGUGCCUUGGGAUUUUUUUUUCCAUUAAAGAUGUUGCAAAUAUAAAAAAUCUACUUGUGCACUGUGUGUGGCCUGACCAAUGCACAGUAAUAUUGUCCAUGAGAAUGCAAGCUGACAUGUCCACUUCUUGCUUUAUGAGUUAUGAACAUAUGAAAAAUGACAGGAAAUCAGUAACCAGUUUAUUAAGUUUAUCCUAACCUGACAGACCUAAUGCACAACUCAUGCACAAUAUCAUCUUUCCCUUGCUUCUGAUAGUCAUAUAGUCUCUUGGGUGAAGCAUAGAAAAGAGGAACACUCACUGAAAUUUGCCUUCAAUUCUUAGAAGUAAUGAAGCAAAUUCUAAGAUAUCACCAGUUCCAACCACCUGCAUUCUAUAACAAGAUAUCUUUGACUCAUCCAACUCUCAAUUCAAAUGGCAACUGUGAACCUACAAUUGACACAUGUUGCACAGUUUUUGGCUCUGAAGAAAUCAUUACUUCCUGGCUUGUUUUUGUGAUGUUUUUGAGGCCUGUUUGUCGUCUCCUGCCAUUUAAUGCAGUGACCCUUCCACUUGGAAUGAAUCUAAUCCCUUCAUUAUUAACAAUAUCUCAAAGACUUUGCUUUUUCACAGGGAAAAGUCCCAGCUUUCUAAAUCAGUACUGAUAAUUAAAGGCCCUGAAAUGAGCUAUCAACUUUUCAGAUCCUCAAUAUUCUGCUUCCACGUUAGGGGUCCAAGAAUGGAAAUGGUAUUCUUGAUAACCCUGAGCAAGACCUUGUGUAAGCCCACAGGUAGUGCUGGAAAGAGUCACCUGUUCCAUGGAGCAGUUCUUUACACCAGCUGCUGUGAUGAGACCAAACUGAGACAAUACCACGGACUGAGUCACAUUAAAAUUUUCGAGAGCAGCUCACUUUUUGGUAGCGUCUGGAUCAUACAUCUCCCACUCUGCCUUCAUUAAUACUGGAAGUGGGAUGAGAGUGUCACUGGUGAGACAGCAUUUAUGGCCCAUCCCUAAUCACCCAGAGGGCAGUUAAGAGUCAACCACAUUGCUGUCAGUCUGGAGUCACGUGUAGACCAGUCCAGAUGCUGCCAGACCUGCUGAGCUUUUCCAGCAACUUUGUUUUUCUACAACAUGCUCUCGUUCUGGUUCCAAAACACGCUGUUUUAAGAAGAUAUUUCAGAUGCAUUUUAUGAACUUUUCAUCUGAGUUACCAAUGCAACUACGAUUUUUCCCAUCUACAUGUAGAUUUACAUGUAGACUGAUCAUUCUUGCAGUCCUUUAUUACAAACAGCCAAUAUUUCUUCCUGUAAACUUUGUUGUACAUUGGUUAAGAGUCCUGUAGAGCAUUGCCACUAGUAAUUUAUUUCUCCUGCUAUUUCUCAACUCUCUCCAUAAGGACUUAUGUCCUCAUCUCCUGAAACAAAUUUAUCUUUAACUAUUUCACCAGGACCACUCUUGAGUACGAGUACUGCUCUACCAUCUUUAUUUCGCUUUCUUUUCUUCUCGAAUAUCCAGUUCCCCUUAAAGUUGAGGGCCUAG
Stegostoma tigrinum is the source of this 5803-nucleotide long non-coding RNA. RefSeq lists it as uncharacterized. The transcript is spliced from 5 exons. Lineage: Eukaryota; Metazoa; Chordata; Chondrichthyes; Orectolobiformes; Stegostomatidae. The record is from RefSeq and is a predicted model, not a curated record.